Molecule: ribosomal RNA, 506 nt
Filed under: uncultured bacterium
Lineage: Bacteria
Description: partial 16S ribosomal RNA
Rfam family: Bacterial small subunit ribosomal RNA
Source: RNAcentral
AGUGAACGCUGGCGGUAGGCCUAACACAUGCAAGUCGAACGGCAGCACAGAGGAGCUUGCUCCUUGGGUGGCGAGUGGCGGACGGGUGAGGAAUACAUCGGAAUCUACUCUGUCGUGGGGGAUAACGUAGGGAAACUUACGCUAAUACCGCAUACGACCUACGGGUGAAAGCAGGGGACCUUCGGGCCUUGCGCGAUUGAAUAAGCCGAUGUCGGAUUAGCUAGUUGGCGGGGUAAAGGCCCACCAAGGCGACGAUCCGUAGCUGGUCUGAGAGGAUGAUCAGCCACACUGGAACUGAGACACGGUCCAGACUCCUACGGGAGGCAGCAGUGGGGAAUAUUGGACAAUGGGCGCAAGCCUGAUCCAGCCAUACCGCGUGGGUGAAGAAGGCCUUCGGGUUGUAAAGCCCUUUUGUUGGGAAAGAAAUCCAGCUGGCUAAUACCCGGUUGGGAUGACGGUACCCAAAGAAUAAGUACCGGCUAACUUCGUGCCAGCCGCCGCAGUAA